UAUGACUCUCUUAAGGUAGCCAAAU
This 25-nucleotide non-coding RNA is filed under the name Arabidopsis thaliana (thale cress). RNAcentral also lists the same sequence under 7 other names. The record is from RNAcentral. Lineage: Eukaryota; Viridiplantae; Streptophyta; Magnoliopsida; Brassicales; Brassicaceae.